Molecule: ribosomal RNA, 280 nt
Filed under: Escherichia coli
Lineage: Bacteria; Pseudomonadati; Pseudomonadota; Gammaproteobacteria; Enterobacterales; Enterobacteriaceae
Description: partial 23S ribosomal RNA
Rfam family: Bacterial large subunit ribosomal RNA
Source: RNAcentral
AGCCCAGAGCCUGAAUCAGUGUGUGUGUUAGUGGAAGCGUCUGGAAAGGCGCGCGAUACAGGGUGACAGCCCCGUACACAAAAAUGCACAUGCUGUGAGCUCGAUGAGUAGGGCGGGACACGUGGUAUCCUGUCUGAAUAUGGGGGGACCAUCCUCCAAGGCUAAAUACUCCUGACUGACCGAUAGUGAACCAGUACCGUGAGGGAAAGGCGAAAAGAACCCCGGCGAGGGGAGUGAAAAAGAACCUGAAACCGUGUACGUACAAGCAGUGGGAGCCUCU